Molecule: long non-coding RNA, 863 nt
Filed under: Junco hyemalis (dark-eyed junco)
Lineage: Eukaryota; Metazoa; Chordata; Aves; Passeriformes; Passerellidae
Description: lncRNA (ENSJHYG00000011422.1)
Source: RNAcentral
AUCCAGUGGCUGCUGUGUCUCAAGGCACCCAUUUUCCUCUUGCCUAUAGGGGAGCUCUCAGGCAGCUCACAGGUGAGCCAGGAAAGAGAAUGGCAUCUGCUGCUUUCAGCAAGAAAGAGGUGAGUUUGGGUGAAUGACUUUGGACUGUGAGAAUUUGGCUUGUGUUCCUCAGAGCUCCCAUGGCCCUGGGAGCCAAGAAGAAAUGACAGCUUCUGUCUAAUGGGGUCAGAUAGUAAAUGGAGCCAUUUCCACACUGUGCUGGCUGGGAUAUAAUUACACACUGGGCCAUGGCGUGUCUGGUCCUAAUAGCACCCGGGACUCUUGGUGUGACUCAGCUGCUGCUUGGGGCUAAUUAUGGGCAGGUUGCACAAAAAACCCCCACAAAUUGAUCCUGCCUUCCUCUCCUCCAGUGGAUGGGUGUUCAGCAACAACCUGUAUUGCGCAUACAAAGCUCGUACAAAAAUGGUGAGAAGCCUAGAGAAGCCUACGAGGCUGGUGCUGCAGCGACAGGCAGGGGGACAAGCUGAGCUCUUCAGUGAAGGAGGUGCUGCCCAACUGCCAGCAGGAAGCCAGCUGCAUUUCCUGGGCAGGUCCCAGCGUGAAUCGAAGCUGAAUUUGAGCAAUAACCCUUCUGAUGUCUCCGGGGGAGGAGAUGUGACGUCUUGAGGUAAACCACACAUCCCGUAACUACCACUGUGCCAUUCGUGAGCGCUGCCUCGCUACACAAGUGGCAGAAUUGCUUUUCAGCAAAAGUCACCACGGUUUUGGAGGGGAAGAGUUCCAGUCAGAGAAAGACCGGGUGGCGGGGAGAAAGAAAACCCGACCGCAAUAAAGCAGCAUUGAACCUGAAAGGAAAAAGACGU